Molecule: long non-coding RNA, 268 nt
Filed under: Brassica napus (rape)
Lineage: Eukaryota; Viridiplantae; Streptophyta; Magnoliopsida; Brassicales; Brassicaceae
Description: long non-coding RNA (BNAP_LNC001671)
Source: RNAcentral
AGAGGGUAUUUUUAGUUAGUUAGUGAAUUUUGUUUUUUUUUUGUGUCUACUGGGUGCAAUUUCUCUAAUUUAAAACACUUCCACAUAUUUUUUUUUCAUGAUCUCUGUUGGUUAUUUUAUAUUCAAGAUUUGUAAUCUUAUCUUUAUUAACUAUAUUAAUUGACUGAAAAAGAAAUUGGGAUAUACAAUAAUAUGAUGAUAAUAUUAAUCUUGGUAGCUCCAUUUUAUCGCUUAUUCGCUUAUAAACAUCUAUCAAAGGCUUGUUUGC